This 253-nucleotide ribosomal RNA is filed under the name uncultured bacterium. RNAcentral describes it as "partial 16S ribosomal RNA". It matches the Rfam family "Bacterial small subunit ribosomal RNA", at positions 524 to 776 of the family's 1533-position model. The record is from RNAcentral.
UACGUAGGGAGCAAGCGUUGUCCGGAAUUAUUGGGCGUAAAGAGCUCGUAGGCGGCUUGUCACGUCUGCUGUGAAAUCCCGGGGCUCAACCCCGGGCGUGCAGUGGAUACGGGCUGGCUAGAGGCAGGCAGGGGAGAACGGAAUUCCCGGUGUAGCGGUGAAAUGCGCAGAUAUCGGGAGGAACACCGGUGGCGAAGGCGGUUCUCUGGGCCAUUACUGACGCUGAGGAGCGAAAGCGUGGGGAGCGAACAGG